This 440-nucleotide ribosomal RNA is filed under the name uncultured bacterium. Its description in RNAcentral is "partial 16S ribosomal RNA". It matches the Rfam family "Bacterial small subunit ribosomal RNA", at positions 338 to 795 of the family's 1533-position model. The record is from RNAcentral.
CCUACGAGGGGCAGCAGUGGGGAAUAUUGGGCAAUGGGCGAAAGCCUGACCCAGCAACGCCGCGUGAAGGAAGAAGGCUUUCGGGUUGUAAACUUCUUUUGACAGGGAAGAGCAGAAGACGGUACCUGUCGAAUAAGCCACGGCUAACUACGUGCCAGCAGCGGCGGUAAUACGUAGGUGGCAAGCGUUGUCCGGAUUUACUGGGGGUAAAGGGCGUGUAGCCGGGCUGACAAGUCAGAUGUGAAAUCCGGGGGCUCAACCCCCGAGCUGCAGUUGAAACUGUUGGUCUUGAGUAUCGGAGAGGCAGGCGGAAUUCCUAGUGUAGCGGUGAAAUGCGUAGAUAUUAGGAGGAACACCAGUGGCGAAGGCGGCCUGCUGGACGACAACUGACGGUGAGGCGCGAAAGCGUGGGGAGCAAACAGGAUUAGAUACCUGUAGUC